This 333-nucleotide long non-coding RNA is filed under the name Triticum aestivum (bread wheat). RNAcentral's name for it is "long non-coding RNA (TAES_LNC016275)". Lineage: Eukaryota; Viridiplantae; Streptophyta; Magnoliopsida; Poales; Poaceae. The record is from RNAcentral.
UGUACUUGGCCGAAGAAGGAUUGUAGCUCGGUGAAGUGGGGCUGUAGUUCGGUGAAGUAGGGCUGUAGCUCGGUGACGUCGGGCUGUAACCAGGCGAUGUAGGGCUGUAUGCAGGCGAUGUAGGGCUGUAUGAGGGCGAGGUAGGGCUGUAUGAGGGGGAUGUCGGGCUGUAUGAGGGUGACGUGGGGCUGUAUGAGGGUGAUGUCGGGCUGUACGAGGGAGAAGUAGGGCUGUAUGAUGGCGACGUUGGGCUGUAAGAUGGCGACGUCGGGCUGUAUGCAGGAGAUGUUGGGCUGUAUGCUGGCGAGGUCGGACUAUAAACCGGUGAUGUUG